This is a non-coding RNA of Daucus carota subsp. sativus, 73 nucleotides long. The record is from Rfam. Lineage: Eukaryota; Viridiplantae; Streptophyta; Magnoliopsida; Apiales; Apiaceae.
AUCGGAGUAGAGGAAUGGUUAACUCAUCAGACUCAUGAUCUGAGGAUUGUAGGUUCAAAUCCUGCCUCCGAGA